GCCAUUGUGACCCGACUUCUAGUGGUUGCACAUGGUUGAGUGAUGACAUUAAAGCAUGCCAGGAUCAAGGCAUCAAGGUGUUGCUUUCCAUCGGAGGUGCCUCGGGAAGCUAUACUUUGAUCUCUGCAGAGGAUGCCAGGUGAUUAUUCUUCAAAAAUAUAUAGACUAUGUUUGGUUCCUAAGAAAAAAAUACUGAAGAAAAGAUCAGUGCUGAUUCUAUUGUUGUGAUGCAGGGAAGUUGCAAAUUACCUAUGGAACAAUUUUUUCGGGGGCCAAUCAAGCUCACGACCGUUAGGAGAUGCUGUUCUAGAUGGGAUUGAUUUUGACAUUGAGGGAGGCACAACCCAGCACUGGGAUGAACUAGCCAAGGCCUUGUCGGAGUUCAGCGGGCAGAGGAAGGUGUACCUAUCAGCAGCUCCACAGUGCCCAUUUCCGGAUGCAUGGUUGGGCACUGCCAUUGCCACAGGUCUAUUCGACUAUGUUUGGGUCCAAUUCUACAACAAUCCCCCCUGCCAAUACUCCGGCAACGCUGACAACCUUAUCAACUCCUGGAACCAAUGGACCACGAUUGAAGCUGGUCAAGUAUUUUUGGGGUUGCCUGCAGCCUCAGCAGCAGCCGGAUCUGGCUACAUCGAACCGGACGUGCUCGUCUCCCAGGUCCUGCCGUCCAUCAAGACUUCCCCCAAGUAUGGAGGUGUGAUGCUUUGGUCUAGAUAUUAUGAUAAUGGCUAUAGUGCAGCCAUUCUGUCCAGUGUUUGAAGUCUUGUCUUCCUAUAUAUGUCUACUUCUAAUAUGGUCACAUAAAUGAGCUUUGAUACUUUCUGAAACUUGAAUGAAAUAUAAAUUUUCUGCUGUGAUGAUUAAUACAAAUAUAUAUAUAGAUGGCACAAUAUCUUUCAAAGGCUCUCUCUAAAAGCCUCUGCUUACCAAGCAGCCCAUUUGCCUCAACCAUGUACUCCCAACUCUACUUUGCAAUUCCCUUGCUGAUCUUGCAGUUUAUCAAUCUCAUCACAUUUAAAUUUUUUUAAAUGAAAAUAUUAUCGUAGAACCCUAUUGAAAUAUAUGGUCAAUACAAAAAUCAUAGGCAUAGGAGAAAGGCCACAUUAAUGAGUCACGGCUCAUGAAUGCCAAUCCAGUUAGCUUUCCAUAGCUUUCCAUUUCGGGUAGUUGGAUGUCCAGGGUGCCAAUCAAGUUAGGCAGAUGUUUCCAUUUCCAGAUCAUUUUUAACAGAAGCAAAGUUUGGCAUAAGAAAAUAGUGAAAUAUGGGCUAUGAAAUGGGCAUAUUCCUACAUCCAACAGAUUCAUUAAACCACCAACCAAACAAUAAUCAAUGGCUCUCCAUAGCUUUCCAUUUCGGGUAAUUGGAUUUCUAGGGUGCCAAUCCAGUUAGGCAGAUGUUUCCAUUUCCAUAUUAUUUUUAACAGAAGCAAAGUUUGGCAUAAGAAAAUAGCUGGAUUAUUAAGGAUAUGUUUGGCAACUGCUUUUGAAAAACAGAUUUUUUGGAAACCCAAAAUGUUUUUAAUAGUUUUAAAAAUAAUUUUUAUAUUUAGUAUUUUAUUUUUAAUCAUUUUAUAUAUUUGUAUAAUUAUUUUUUAAAAUAACUCUUAUAAAACAAAUGAAAACAGUAAAAAACAACUAAAAAAUAUUCUUCAAAAAUACAAUUUUUUUGUUCUUAAGAACAUAAAUAGAAAAUAAUUUUUUAUUGUCAAACAUGUUUUCUAGCCUUUUUUUGUUUUGGAGAACGAAAAAUUGUUCUAAAAAACAAUUGUUGAAUAGACCUUAAGGCUUUGUUUAAGAUGUGUUUUCAAAAAUAGUUUUUGAAAAUUGUUCUCUAAUAUUUUUUAACAUGUUUUUUUUAACCUUUUUUAAUAUAUUUUAAAAAUAAUUUUUAAAUGUGAUGCUUUAUUUUUUUUUAUCAUUCUCUAUAUUUAUAUUAUUAUUUUUUUAAACAGUCUUCAUAAAAUAGAUGAAAAUAAAUGAAAUAAAUAAAAGAUGCAUGUUUUCCAAAAUUUCUUUUUUUUUUUUUCAAUUUUAAGAAAGAAAACUAUUUUCUAUUUUCUAUUUUCUAAUUACUAAAUAUGUUUUUUAUUUUUAUUUUUUAUCUUAGAGAACAAAAAAUUGUUUUUAAAAACAAAUACCAAACCCGAGUUAAUAAUUUUGAAGAAUUAUCCCAAAAAACAAAGAACAAGACAAACUUAAACUUGUAUGACAUAUCCAUCUUCAUGUGAAAGAAAAAUAAAACUAAAAACUAUUCAAAAACGUUAAAUGAAUACUAGAAACAUGUUUUCAAAUCCUUCUCAAUAAGAAUAACUUUUUAAAUUAGAACAAUUUUCAAAUCCUUGUCCAUAUCACAUAGAUGAAUAAAAAUUCUAAGAUGCUUCGAAAGAUGUUUCAUACAAAUAUUCUAAAAUAUCAUAUUGUAUUAUUAGUCAUUAUGAUAUACUCUAUCUACCUAUAAACUCCUUUAAAAACUUAAAUUAAAAUAAUCAUUAUUUUAAAAACGAUCAAUUGAGCUUAACAAAACCUAACCUCUAAUCCAAGGUACUCAACUCAAUUCCAACUCAACUUUAUUCCUCUAAACUCGAGUUGAGUUCAGAUUAUUCAUGUUAGACUCAGAUUUAUAGAGUUAAACUUAAGUCAAUUGGAUUAAGUUCAAGUUGAUUAAAUUACAUAAUUUAAAAUAUAUCUAUCCAACCCUCCAUCUAAUCUAUUGAAAUAUGUGAUAAAAUUUAAAUACUUAAUGGAAAUCCAAAUAAAUAUGACUAAAAUAUAAUGAUACAAAUGAAUGAAACUUAAGUAAAAAAUAAUUAGAUCGAAAUAUUUAUACGGAUAUUUACAAUUUGAUAAUGACUUUCUAUAAGAAAAGCCUCAUUGAUGAGUCAUGGUUCAUGAAUGCCAAUCCAUUUAGACAGAACUACUUUUGUCUAUUUCCAAACCAUUUUUAAUAAAGUCAAUAUUGAUAUAGUAAAUAGUUUGCCACGUUUUAUUUGAUUCUAUUUAAUAAUUGUAUUAUCAAUAGUGUAAUUGGAUGUACGAUGUGUCAACCCAAUUAGGCAGAUGUCCAUUUCCAAAUUUAUUUUCAACAUAAGCCACAUGCCCCGUUUGACGUAGGAAAAUGCCUUGUUGACACGUUUUUUUUUUUAAAAUUAUAUUACAUCAAUGCAGUAAGUUUGUAUUAUUGCUUUCAAGUGAAGGUGAAAUAAUUUUACAUUACAGAAAUUAUAGUGAUUUUAGAAAGUGUUUUUAAUAUUUUAAUACUUAAAAGAUAAAAAAUUUAAAAUGUUAAAAAUACUAAAAUUGCUUUCAAAAAUCACUAUCAAAUACAUUCUAAAAUUUCUUUGACGAACGAUUUUGAGGGAAUAAAAUACUCUUUUAACAUAGAAAGUUGUUUAUUAUAAAAAUUAAAGUAUUUAAUAAAAAAUUUAAAAUAAUUUUAAAACAUUUAUUUAUUUUUUGUAUAAAAUAUAAUGACUCUUAUGAGUUUUCAUUGAAAAAGUAAUAAUUUUAAAAACUAUUUAAUAUUAAAAAAAUAUCUUUUUUAUUCCUUUCACUUUGAUUAUAGUCCAAUAAAAAAUAAUGAAAGUAUUUUCUUUAUUUUAAAGUCAACAAAUGAUUUAGAAUGGUCUAUUCUCAAAUAACUAAAUAAAAAACACAUGUAGUUUUUUUUUGUGAUUUCUCAAAUUUGUCGGAAGAUUUUGUGAAACAUUUUCUUCUGUGUGGAGUCAUUUUGUCAAUCUCCAUCAUUGAAAGAAUUUACCAUUAUUUAUAGGCAAAAUUAGCCAAUUAAAUUUGGAAUAUUCAAGAUUUAAUUGCUUAAUUAGAGAAUUUCGUUCUUUAAUUUUAGCAACUUGUUUUCUUUCUUUAGGAAAUUUCUAAAGAAAAUAUUUAUUUUUAAUUCUCUUCUUACUUCAAUUAAAAAAUUAGUCUCCUUUGUUUAGGAAAAUAUUUAUUUCUAAUUCUCCUUGACUUUGAUUUUAUUUUGUCCGACUUAAUUUUGUAGUCAUCCAAAUUUAAUUUGUUUGGUAAAAUAACUUAAUGAUAUGAAUUAAAGUUAACAACAACUUUAAGUAAUAAGUAAAAACAAUUAACUUAUUUUAAGUUCAUAUUUUCAUUUUUACCUUUUUACUCAUAUUUGUCCUAUUACUCCUAUGAUCUUUUUUUACUGUUCCACGACGUCCAUUAUUACUUGAUAUAUUUUGUCCUAAUUAUAAUUUAUGAGAAUAAAUAUAUCAAUUUGAUGAUUUAGAAUAAAUUUUAAGUUAAUUUUAUCAAACAAUCUUAAUACUUAAAGUAAGAAUUAAAUAAUAAAUUUUAAGUUAACAAUUUAAAUAUAAUUUAACUUAAAAUCAACUUAAGUUAUUAAGUAAUGAAUAUUAAGUUUUACCAAACAACUUUGUUGUUUGUUUGAAAAUAGAUUAUGUUUUUUAUUUUUAAAAAUGAAAAAUAGUGGUAAGUUGUAUAUAUCAUGUAUAUAAUAACUUUUAUUUAUAGAAUUAAAAAAAAUUUAUAUUUUUAAAAUUUGUAAAAAUAAAAAUAUUUUAGUAUUUCAAUUUUUUUUAGAACAUUUUUCAAAAGCCAUUAUGUUUUUUUUUCUUCUUUUUAAGAUAAGUAUAAAGGACUUUUUGUAUUUAAAAUAAGAAAUCAAAAUGCCAACAUGGAAAAAGAGAAAAGAUACAUGCAUGAACGUUUUAAUUGAGGGAGGCAUCCGACCCUCUUCAAAUAGUUUUUAGAAGAGAUUAUGACUUAAUAUGCUAAUUGAGUUCAAAUUCUAUAAGUUUAAAUUUUUAAGAAAAUUGAUAAGUUUUUUUAUUUAUUUAUUUUUUUAUUAUGAAAGUAUUAAUAAUUCAAAUUUUAUAUAGUCUAUUUUUUUGUAAUUUUAAAAAGCACUUUUAAUAAAAAAAAAUUUAAGAAAAAUAAGAUAUUUUGAAAAAUUUAGGAAAAGCUUUUAUAAAGUUUAAAAAUCACUUCUAAAACUUAUUAGAGAAGCAUUUGAAAGAAGAUUCUAACCAAAACACUACCCUUCAAACCAUCCUUAUCUCCUGCACUCCACUUUUAAGAUAAGAAAUCAAAAUGUGGACAUGGAAAAGGUGAAAAGAUGCAUGCAUGAUCCAUGAACGUGUUAAAUGAGGCAUCCCGGCCCUCUGCAAAAAUGUGAAAUAUGGGCUAUAAAUAGGGCAUAUUCCUACAUCCAACAGAUUCAUUAAACCACCAACCAAACAAUAAUCAAUGGCUCUCCAUAGCUUUGCAGCAGUAGUAGUAGUAACGCUAGUCUCUUGCCUGCUGGCUCCUCCUGCAGUCGAGGCCUCAUCAGUCAAUAUCUCUACUUACUGGGGCACUGAUGCAAGAGAAGGUAGCGUGGAAGAUGACUGUAACGCCUCCUUGUAUAGUAUCUUCAACAUCGGUUUCGUAGACAGAUUUGGAUAUGACUGGCCUCCAAGACUCAACAUCCACCACUGUAACGCAUCAGUACAGGGGUGCAAGUACCUGGGCACUGAAAUAAAAGUUUGCCAAGAAAGGGGGGUUAAAGUGCUCAUCUCUAUUGGAGGCCCGGGUGGAGACUACAACCUCGCCUCUUCAGAUGAUGCUACGUAAGUUAGUUGCUAAAACUGAUGAUGAUGAUGAUUUAACAGAAAAUAAAAUCGUUUUAAAAAACAGUUGCCAAACAGGGCUAAGCUAAUUAGGUGCCUUAUUGAUUGAUUUUCACUUCAUUUUAAUUUGUAGGGAGCUCGCAAACUACUUGUGGAACGCCUAUCUUGGUGGCAACCAAUCGACUGUUGAUCGUCCGUUUGAGGAUGCAAUUCUGGAUGGAGUUGACUUCUUCAUUCAGGCAGGCAGUACCCUGUAUUGGGAUGUGCUUGCUGAGGCCCUUAGAAACCUCAGCAAUAAUGGAACCCAGAUGGAAUUAAGUGCCACUCCCAAAUGCAAAUACCCAGACGAAUACCUCGGCGCUGCAAUUCAAACCGGGCUCUUUGAUUAUGCUCAGGUGCGAUUCUAUGAUGAAGAUGGCUGCCAGUAUAAUGGCAGCUUCGACGGCAUGAAGAGUGCGUGGGAUGAAUGGACAGCUGAGGCUAAUGUGGAUAAAAUAUUUGCGGGAGUGACUGCAUCUGAAUCUGAUCAAGGUUACGUUGAUGCAGAUGAUCUGGCCUCUGAGUUCCUACCAGAUGCUGAGCAGUCCCCAAAGUUUGGAGGUCUGAUGGUGUGGUAUCUCUACACUGACCAUCAGUCCGGUUACAGCGCAAGGAUCAAAGCUUUGAAUCCUACAAUUCAAACUGCUCCUUCAGGAGUUGAAGUUGAAUAAGCAGAUCUGUAUGAAUGGCGGCUGAUCAUCCCAUGAUCAGUAAGCUUAAGUACGUACUUUGAAAUAGUAUUGUAACGCCUGCUGUUUGCUUUUCAUUCAAUAAAUUUGGCCUCUCAUGCAUAUUUCCUCACAGAGACACAUGUGAUCUGGGGGGUAAAUAUAUAGGUAUGAAGCCAAAACAAGCUUGUACCUAGUCUGAUGUAUCCCUGUUAAUGAAGUUGUGUGGUUUGUGUGAUAAAAUUACCUUUAGCCUGCCUGUUGGUAUCUUCCAUUUACAAAUGCAAAUGACACUUGAUCUACAUUAUUACUUAUAUAAUUUAUUUAUUUACUUACUCUUCUAUUUUCAUAUUUCUUUAAUAUAUAUUAUUUCUUUUUUAUAAAUAAAAAAAUUACUUAGUAUACAUGCUUCCGGUAUUUCUUUAUUCUUUUAUUAUAUUGUUCUUUUUUACCAAAAAAAAAAAUUAUUUAUUUACUUGAUCUUCUAAUUUCAAAACCUUUUCGUCCUUUUUUUUUUUUAAUAUAUAUUCUUUUUUAUAAAGAAACUUGAAUUAUUUAUUCACUAAAUUAUUCAUCUAUUAAAUUAUUAUUAUUAUUAUAUUUCUUCAAUUAUAAAAGGCAUAAAUCCUAACUCUCAUAGUUAAUAGUGGUUACUCAGGGCUUUAUUUCUAGGGUUAUUUUUUUGGAAGAAACAAAUGGAGGCGUUAGGGUUUGUUUUUGCUACAUACAAUAUUUUUCUAUUUAUACUAAACCUUUAUUUACGUAAUUUUCUAUAUUUAUUUAUUAUUUUAUUUAUUUCUCUAUUAUUGCUAGAUGUUAUAUUUAUAAAAAUUUAAAUUAUUUAAUUACUCAAUAUUUUUUAUAUUUAUUUUUUGAUAUAUAUUAUUCUUGUUUUAGAAAAAAAAAAUUAACUAACUUUUUAUUUACUUAAUUUCAAGUUUUGAUAUUUCUUAAAAUCUUUUUUAUUUCAUAUUUUAAUAAAUGAUUAUUUUUUAUAACAUAAAAUAAAAUAAUUCCAAAUUGAUUAAGUCAUUCAAAUAAAAUAAAAAUAAAAAAAGGUAAAUAUUGUUAAGUAACAACAUAUCAUAAAAAUUUAAAAUAUUUUACUUCUUGGAAAUGUUAAAAGUAAAUUAUUGAUUUUUUUUCUUUAUUUUUUAAUACAUAAUACAAAUAAAAUAUUUAAAAAAAUGAAGAAUUUAACACUUAACACUAUUAAUAUUAUUCAAUUUUAAAUUCUAUUUAAAAUUAAGAAAAAAAAAAACAUCGCCUUACUAUAGAAUUAAAUUAGAUAAUCUAAUAUAAAUUAUUUAUAUUUAAAAAAAAUUAUUUUAUAUUUAAUAAUACCAAAACAACUCUCACUUGUGCUUUUACAUCUCUUCCUCAACUUCAAAGAUAAUAAUGAAACAUAUUUUUCUUUAAGUACUCAACCCAAUUUAUCCUAAUAGAACAAAACAGAUUUAGAAAAAUCCUAAACCGGUUAGAAACGGGUUUAAGAAGAUAUUGGUUAUAGUAUUACCUCAUCCCAGCUCUAUGUCUUUAUCAUUUAUAUGUAUAAUUAAAUAAAAAUAAUAGUUCAUUUUUAUUUUUUAUUUAAAAAAAAUUAAAUAUGGGAUGACAUACCCAAGUUGCCACCUCAAUUGGGCGAAGCUAACCAUCAUCCUCAACCCACGCACAAUAUCACAAUUAAUUAUAUAUGCAUGCCACCAUAAUGAUGAUUGAAAGGUAGGAUCACACCCCCCCUUUUUUUUUUUUUAAUUUUAUUAAAUUAUGAUUUUAAAAAAAAUGUAUAGAUGUCUCAAUGUUUUAGAGGUGAAAUAUUUAGAAAAGUUUUUUAAAUAUUAAAAAAUGUAUUUCAAAAUCAAAUAUCAAGAUAUAAAUUUCAAAGUAGGUUGUAUUGAAUUUAAAAAAUAAUAAUGUCAACUCAAUUUUAAUAGAAAUCUUUUUAAAAUACAAUCCCAAAUAGUAAUUAUUUUUAUUUCUAUUUUUAUUUUCUGUUAAAUAGAUUUAGCAAAUGAUAUGUGUUUAUAUUUGAAUUUGACAUAUGAAUUCUUUAUAAAAAUUGAACCACAUAAUCACCAAAUCUUAACUUGAACUUUCCUUAAAGUUCAAACCUCCUUAUUAUUUUUUUUGUGAAAAAUACGUUUUAUAUCAAAUAAAUUUAUUAAAAAUAGAAUUCUUUUUUUCAUUUGAAUUUUGAGAAUCUCCAAUGUCUAUAAGUUUGAAAUUCAAAAAAUAAUUAUUUAUGCUUUUGAAAAAGAGUUAUUUGUAAAGAUUUAAUUGGCAAAGUUUCCAAAUUAUUCUAUAGAACUUUACAUUGAAGAGGUAUAUCUUGUGUUUUUGAAUUUAUUAAUUAUUUUUUAAAAUAAAAUAAUAUAUAAAAAUGGAAAUAUACGAACUCAUUCUCAUUGAAGAUAUUAUAUAUACUAUUAAGAAAGAUUCUAUGUUCUUCUCUAUGAAAGAACCCAUAAACACACCAUAACAUAAUGUUUGCAAAAAUUACAAAGGAGGAGGAGGAGAAAGAGAAAUUACAAAGGAGGAGGAGGAGAAAGAGAUAUAAACAAAUAAAAAAGAAUAAUAGCUUCACGCAAAUUUUGGAGAAAUCCAAAGUAGAGGUUGUGGGGAAUGUGGGAAAAGCAGUGUAACAGUCCUAUCACUUAGACUGAAAACAUACAUACUUCCAUCAGCAUUUGAAAAAAAACUACAACGUUGGCAGAAGUAUAUAGAAUUUGGCCGGCAUCCCGCAAAAUCAGAAGCUAUGACAGAAAUUGAAUGAUUGUCUCCCAAAAACAAGGCAACAUCGCCCAAACUCAUAACCUCUUCCCAUCUUGGAUUCUUUGAAAAUCAUUGUAACUUAUAAAUCACAAAUCCGGCCCCCUUCAUGCUUUGUAACCUGCAAGAGAUCUCCUUCAGGAGAUUCCACUGGAUUCUUUGAAAACCAUUGUAACUUAUAAAUCACAAAUCCCCUUUCAUGCUUUAUAACCCGCAAGAGAUCUCCUUCAGGAGAUUCCACCAAAUAUGAGUCAAGAGCACAAUGAAUAUCGGGUGAAGUAAUCCUUCUCACUUUAAAAUCAUUACUCACAUCACAAGAGAAGAGCACACCCCGUCCGUCUAAUACAUAGAAUAACCCAUUGCUGUAAACAAUGUCUUUCACAUCCCGCAACCCUUCAAUAUAAGUCCAGUCUUCUUCUCCUGAUUUAAUGAAUGCUAAUCUUACUACCAAACUACCACACGUCAUAUGAGUACAAACUCGUCCCCAUUCACAUCAGGAUCAAUAGACAAUACACCCCUCCUCGGGUUAUAAGGGAAGAUAGUUCUGUACACACUGCCUGAAAGUUCACGGAAUGAUGAUUUUUCGAGGGGAGGAAGAUGAAUGAGUUUUCCAGAGAAUGGGUUGUGGAGGGUUACCUUAUAAGAAUCAUUAUUUACCAGAAUCAACCAGCCAUGAGAAGACCCUCCACACCUCCAUCGCCCCUGCCUCAACUGAACCUCCCAAAGGCUUUUUCCGUUCAUGACGUCAUAUAAACAGCACCUUUCUCUGGAAUUAUCUGCGGUGGGAGCCAUUAACAAUGGGACUUGUUGGUGCAGACGACAAUGGCGUUUAUGGUUAGAGCGUAAAUGUUGAAGUUUUUCGCGAACUGCAUACUGCCAUUGAAUGCAAACCUCACCGAAUGUGAAGUAGUCCUCCAUGGGCACUAAGUAAUCUAAGAUCGAACCGAGAAGAUUUAUACAGAGUGAUGCCCAAUCUGAACUUGAGGGCAAAGCCAUUCUUCUGAUUGUGAUCGAGAAGAGGAAGAAGAUGAUGAAAAAUUAGGGUUUAACAGAUUAGGGUUUAACGUAUAUAAAAAAAAAUAAAGGGUGGGUGCAUGUAUAUAUAUAGGACUGAGUACAAAUUUGGAAACCUAAUUUCAAUCCAAAUAUAACUCUAUAGAUUUAUAGAAUUUAAUAAUAAAAUUUAAUCGCAUUAUAAAAUAUUUUAGUUAAUUUAAUUUAUAUCUAUAUCUAUAAAUUAAGUAGACUUAUUUUUUUUUAAAUAAUUUAAAUAUUAAAAUUUUCUUUUUAUUUUCUUAAAUCGCAUUAUAAAAUUUUCUUAAAUAGCUCAUCAUGCAUUAUAAAAUAAUCUUUUUAUUUUUUUUCCAUAUUUUUAUUCUUUUGUUUCCAUAUAUUGUUCAUGUCUUAUUCAUUACUUGAACUUUUAAACCUUCUAUUUUCAUAUUUCUUUAAUAUAUACUAUUUCUUUUUAUAAAAAAAAAAAAAAUUUACUUAGUAAACAUGCUUUCGGUAUUUCUUUAUUCUUUCAUGUAUAUUAUAUAUAUAUAUAUAUAUAUAUAUAUAUAUAUAUAUAUUUUAACUUGAUUUUCUAUUUUCAAAAUCUAUCGUCCAUAUUUUUUAAAUAUAUGUUAUUUUUUAUAAAAAAAAACUUGAAUUAUUUAUUGACUAAAUUAUUCAUCUAUUAAAUAAUUUUAUUAUUAUUAUUAUUAUUAUUAUUAUUAUUAUUAUUAUUAUUAUUAUUCUAAUUAAAUUAAAAAAAGGCAUAAAUUCUAUAUCUCAUAGUUAAUCACGGUAGAAUAUUUUUAUUUUCUUUUUGUUCAAAUUUGAAAUCUAUUAAUCAGUAUAAUUAAUUGAUUCCUACCUAGGGCAUUAUUUCUAGAGUUAUUUCUUCCAAGAAACAAAUGGAAGGGUUAGGGCUUGUUUUUGCUACAUUCUUAUUUUUCUAUUUGCACUAAACUUUUAUUUGCUUAAUUUUCUAUAUUUAUUUAUUAUUGUAUUUAUUCCUUUAUUAUUGCUAGAUAUUAUAUUUAUAAAAAUUUAAAUUAUUUAUUUACUCAAUAAGUUUUAUAAACAGAAAUAUUAAUGUGAACAUGGCAAAAGAGAAAAGAUUCAUGCAGAAUCGUAUUAAAGGAGACGUUCCCUCUCCAAAGUAUCGUACGAUCCUCAAUAAUAAUAAAAGUGUUGGUGCAUAUAACACGUACCAAUUAUUAUCAAAAGAUGCAUGCAUGAACGUGUUAAAUGAGGCAUCCCUUAUGCAAAUCAAGUGGUUUCUUGACAUUAAAUUCAUACCCGAAAGUCUAUAACAAGUUUCUUGCAAUCUUCUUCCACAAACGUGUAGAUUUGACAAACAUUUUGAUACAUAUAGUCCAACAUAUGUACCUAUAAAUUUCCAUACCUUCCUCUCAAUUUUUCAUCCAAGCAACAAAGCUCAAUGGCACACCGCUCUCUCCUUUCAUUGGCCCUCCUCAGCUUUUUCUUUCUUGCCUUGAUCUCCAACACUAAUGCAGGUACAAUAACAGUCUACUGGGGCCAAAAUGGGAACGAGGGCAGCUUGGCUGAUACCUGCUCCUCGGGCUAUUAUGGAAUUGUCAAUAUUGCUUUCUUGGUUGUUUUUGGCAAUAACCAGACUCCGCAGAUGAAUCUAGCUGGCCAUUGAGACCCGAACUCUGGUGGUUGAUCAUGGUUGAGUACUGGCAUUAAAGCAUGCCAGGAUCAAGGCAUCAAGGUGUUGCGAGGUGCCUCGGGAAGCUAUACCUUGACCUCUGUAGAGGAUGCCAGGUGAUUAUUCUUCUCAAAUACGUAGACUAUGUUUGGUUCCUAAGAAAAAAAUACUAAAUAAAAUGAUAUUCGAUUUCCACCCAUUUUUCUUUCUUUCUAUUUUUUCUCUUUAUUUUCUCUCCCUCUCAUUUUCCCUCAAACUUUCGGGGACCCAAUCAUAGCCAUAGCCAUAGCGUCUAAUCCUUGUGGGAUCAAUGCUGAUUUUGUUGUUGUGAUGCAGGCAAGUUGCAAAUUACCUAUGGAACAAUUUUCUUGGGGGCCAAUCAAGCUCACGACCAUUAGGAGAUGCUGUUUUAGAUGGGAUUGAUUUUGACAUUCAGGGAGGCACAACCCAGCACUGGGAUGAACUAGCCAAGACCUUGUCGGAGUUCAGCGGGCAGAGGAAGGUGUACCUAUCAGCAGCUCCACAGUGCCCAUUUCCGGAUGCAUGGAUGGGCACUGCCAUUGCCACAGGCCUAUUCGACUAUGUUUGGGUCCAAUUCUACAACAAUCCCCCCUGUCAAUACUCCGGCAACGCCGACAACUUAAUCAACUCCUGGAACCAAUGGACCACGAUUGAAGCUGGUCAAGUAUUUUUGGGAUUGCCGGCAGCCCCAGCAGCAGCUGGGUCUGGCUACAUCGAACAGGACGUGCUCGUCUCCCAGGUCCUGCCGUCCAUCAAGACUUCCCCCAAGUAUGGAGGUGUCAUGCUUUGGUCUAGAUAUUAU
This 12549-nucleotide long non-coding RNA is filed under the name Vitis vinifera (wine grape). RNAcentral's name for it is "long non-coding RNA (VVIN_LNC005228)". The record is from RNAcentral. Lineage: Eukaryota; Viridiplantae; Streptophyta; Magnoliopsida; Vitales; Vitaceae.